RNAcentral lists this long non-coding RNA (3996 nucleotides) under Homo sapiens (human). RNAcentral's name for it is "HSALNT0007277". Lineage: Eukaryota; Metazoa; Chordata; Mammalia; Primates; Hominidae. The record is from RNAcentral.
AUUAGGAGCAGGCAGUAUCUUUUCUUUUUCUUUUUCUUUCUUUCUUUUUUUUUUUUUUUGACAGGAUGGGCUGGGGUUGGGGGAGGAGGAAGCAAGAAUUAAGCAGAGAAGGCAAGCUCCUUUCUGUUCAUCUAACUCAAAUUCACUGCAGAGCAGAGGGGAGAGUUUUUCACACUGCUGGCGUUUUGUUGGAGCACGAAGAUACGAAUCACAGAUGGCUUCCUCGGCAGAUGUGGCCCUGUAGAACUGCAGUGCUGGUUUAUAAGGGGUUUAAUGAAAACCUGGCACCCUCCCAGACUUGAAUCAAUCCUCUAGGGUCUCAGCUUAUGCACGUACAGACCAAUCUGCAAAUGUGCACCAUUAUUGACGGUGUGGGGAAUGCUGGGGUGAAAAGUUUUUACCUGAGAAACAAAGCCAAACCUAUCUGGCCAAGUUCACAGGCUUGGCCUGGGAGAUGGAACAGUGCCGUGGAAGGGAAGUUGGUAGGAGAAGAGUGGCUGCAGCUGGAGGAUGUCCAGAUGGCCGCUGCCCAGCUGGGGGUGAUCCGGGCUCAGGGUAGAAUGAUGGUUUUACCAGCUGCUUCGGGCUCACAGUAUUUUCUUCCUUGCCAUGGCUAAAAAGAGUGAGCAGGACUCGCAAGUGGGAGAUAUGGAAUAUCGAAAUAGUUUCUGUCUAGUUCAUAUUAUGGACUGGAACUGAACUUGCAUAUUGUUGCUUCUGCUUGAAAUGUUCUUCAAAUGGUCAGCUUGCUAUUUCUCAUCUGUUUUAUUUUGGCUUCAGUGUCAUUCCUUGGCAAAUGCUUUCUUGAUCACUUCCCUGAAAGAAUCUCCAAGCUCUUUGCCAUAUUCUAUCUUAGUUGUGCAUUUGUUCAUAAUAUAUCACAAUUUAUUUGCCUAUUUGGUUGCUGUUUUGGUCCUUUACUAAAAUAUAAGCUCUUUGAGGGUAGGAAGUCUGUUCAUCUUGUUCACCAAUGCAGCCGAGUGCCUAGUGGAGUACCUGGAACAUAGUAGACAUUCAACAAAUAUUGUUGGAUGGAUGAAUACAUUUUUGUGACAAGACUAAGAUAAAUCAGUCUUUGUAGAUUAAAGCCACCAUUUACAAGCUGUAUAACUGUCUAAAUUACUUAAUCUUUCUUAGUCUCAGAUUCUUUAUCUGUGAAAAAAAAGAUGGCCAGGCGCGGUGGCUCACGCCUGUAAUCCCAGCACUUUGGGAGGCCGAGGCGGGUGGAUCACCCGAGGUCUAGAGUUCGAGACCAGCCUGACCAACAUGGUGAAAUCCCAUCUCUACUAGAAAUACAAAUUAGCCGGGUGUGUUCGUGGGCACUUGUAAUCCCAGCUACUCGGGAGGCUGAGGCAGGAGAAUCUCUUGAACCCAGGGGACGGAGGUUGCAGUGAGCCAAGAUCACACCACUGCACUCCAGCCUGGGCAACAAGAGCAAAACUCCAUCUCAAAACAGAAAAAAAAAAAGAUAAAAAUAUAGUAGAGGGAGCUGUUUGUGUAGAAUAGUGUCUAGAAAUAAGAAAUGGUCAAUAAAGCUAUUAUUAUCCAGUUAUUGAAGAAUUAAGUUCACCACCAACAAAUAUUUAUCAAUAUUUCUAUUCUAAUAUCUAUUGAGAAUCUAGUAUAUGCUAUGCCCCCACACCAAGCACUUUUACAUGCAUUAUCUUAUGCUAUUCUUCACAACCUUGUGAGAUAUUCUUCCCAUUUUAGAACAAAGGAAAUAGAUUAAGUGGUUUGAACAAGCUUACAUAGCUACUCAGUGGCAGAGGCAGUAUUAACUCCAUUUCUAUUUUUAAAGCCCUAAUUUUCCCCCAUAAUUCCAGGCUGCUUCCUAUUAACACUCAUUCUGGAUAAAUAAACAUAAGGAAGCCACAUUCUCUGUCCUCUGGAGGCUCUGGUUUAGGUGAUAAGACAUAUGUAAGAGUAAAAUGAACACUAAUAAAAACCAUUUUUUUGGUGCUGCUUUGAAGUUUACAAAGCUUGUCCCAAUAUUUACAAUACAUUCAAGUUUUAAAAGAUUAUUACCCAGGAUAUAUAAAUAAUUCAUACAAGUCAAUAAGAAAAAGACAAACAAUGGAAAAAUCUACAGAUUAUGAACAGGCAACUGGAAUGGCCAAUAAUCAUAUAAAAAGAUGUUUGACAUUAUGAGCUGUUGGGGAAAUUCAAAUGAGAACAGUAAGACACUAUUUCCCAUUGUCGGAUAGGCAAAAAUAACAGUCUGAGAUACCCAAUGUUGAGGAGGAUAAGGAGACAUGAGAACUAUCAUACCAUGCUGGUGGGACUAUAAAUUGGUAAAACAGUUUGGGGAGCAACUGGCAAUACAUAGUAGCAGUCAAUAUGAAUACACAACCAGGGCUUCCUCUAUGAGGUAAUAGCUUAGAGAAAUUUUUGCAUAUGUGCCAAAGGAGAUGUGCAAUAAUGUUCAGUGUUAGCAUUGUAUAUAAUAGUGCAAUAUUGGAAAUAAUCUAAAAGUACAUUAAUAGAGGAAUGGAUAAACAAAUGGAUCUUUUUUUAGAUAGAACAUAAAAUAGCAAAAAUAAAGCAACAUAAAAUAGCAACUAAAAGAAUAAAUUAGAGCUACAUUUAGCAAUAUGAUAAAUCACUAAAACAUUAUUGAAUAAAAAAGACCAAGUUGCAGAAAGGCACAGACAAGAUAUCAUUUAUGUGUAUUUAAAAACGUGCAGGCUGGCCGGGCGCCGUGGCUCAUGCCUGUAAUCCCAGCACUUUGGGAGGCCAAGGCAGGCAGAUCACCUGAGGUCAGAAGUUCGAGACCAGCCUGACCAACAUGGAGAAACCCUGUCUCUACUAAAAUACAAAAAAAUUAGCUGGGCGUGGUGGUGUAUCCCUGCAAUCCCAGCUACUCAAGAGGCUCAGGCAGGAGAAUCACUUGAACCUGGGAGGCGGAGGUUGCGGUGAGCCGAGAUCACGCCAUUGCACUCCAGCCUGGGCAACAAGAGUGAAACUCUGUCUCAAUAAAUAAAUAAAUAAAUAAAUAAAACCAUGCAGGCCAGGAGCAGUGGCUCAAUGUCUGUAAUCCCAGCACUCUGGGAAGCUGAGGUGGGUGGAUCAUGAGGUCAGGAGAUUGAGACCAUCCUGGCUAACGCGGUGAAACCCAGUCUCUACUAAAAAUACAAAAAAAAAAAAAAAAAAAAAUUAUCCGGCAUAGUGGCACAUGCCUGUAGCCCCAGCUACUCAGGAGACUGAGGCAGGAGAAUCGCUUCAACCCAGGAGGCGGAGGUUGCAGUGAGCCGAGAUCACGCCACUGCACUCCAGCCUGGGCGACAGAGCGAGACUCUGUCUCAAAAAAACAAAAAAAACCCCAUGCAAAACAUGUUUUCACUUAUAAGUGGGAGCUGAACAAUGAGAGUACAUGGACACAGGGAGGGGAACAACACACACUGGAGCCUGUUAGGGGAGGGCAGGGAGGUGGGGGAGCCUCAGGAAAAAUAGCUAAGGCAUGCCGGGCUCAAUACCUAGGUGAUGGUUUGGUAGGUGCAGCAAACCACCAUGGCGCAUGUUUACCUAUGUAAUCUGCACAUCAUGCACAUGUACCCUGGAACUUAAAAUAAUAUUUUAAAAAAUGCGAAACAAUGCCACAAGUUUAAAAUUAACUCUUUAUGUACCAUAAAGAUCUGGCAAGGAAGAAUACAUGCUUCUAGAUGGUAAUAAUUACUUCUAGGGUAGAGGUAGGGAAAGCUUAUCGAGGGAACUUCUAUGGAUCUUCAACUAAAUGUUUUAAUUUAAAAAAAUCUGAAGCAAACAUGGCAAAAUAUUAACAUUGUUAGAUCCAGGUGGUGCGUUCAAUGCGUUUGUUAUACUUGUCUUUGAACUUUUCUCUGUGUGGGGGAUAUUUUCUGUGUAUACGGGAUAUACACAUACAAACACCUCGUUAACCCAGAGCUUCUUCCCCAAACCUUAUCUAAUUUUGUCCUCAUUAAGGCCUUGGAAACAGCAAUGAAAGAGAAGACGUUAAACUCUCGAGUUUCAGUGCGUGUC